CCGCUAUCACCACCACUCAUGUCUCAUCUUCUCUUUUCUAUCUUAUUGUCAUCAACACAACUAAAAUUUUCAAUUAAUCACAUUUAGAUCUGUAAAAGGUUCCGAAACAACGAAAAAGCUUGACUUAUCUGAGCAUAAGCUUUUUCUUCAACAACGUGAAAGCUUUUCUCUCGAUCUGGAUUUUAAUUGUUGUUAUUUAGAAGUGAUGAAGAGAUUGAUGAUGAAGAAGGGCCUGAGUUUUUGUUAGACUUGCAGUUGUUCCUCUUAGAUCUGUACUUUUGUUGUUCUUAUUCAGUGGAAAU
Vicia villosa (hairy vetch) is the source of this 302-nucleotide long non-coding RNA. RefSeq lists it as uncharacterized. The transcript has 3 exons. NCBI's taxonomy places the organism in Eukaryota, Viridiplantae, Streptophyta, Magnoliopsida, Fabales, Fabaceae. The record is from RefSeq and is a predicted model, not a curated record.